Non-coding RNA from Vicia faba (fava bean), 291 nucleotides. Lineage: Eukaryota; Viridiplantae; Streptophyta; Magnoliopsida; Fabales; Fabaceae. The record is from the annotation of a GenBank genome assembly.
AUGAAAGCAAAAGUAGAUAAUGAUGACAACGAUGACAUUGAGGAUCCUACAAAAAAGGAAGACCAGAAUUUGGGAAAGAAGGGAACAAAGGCUGGAGCUAAAGGUAGAAAACCUUCUAAAAGAAAAAAGACCGAGGAAAGUGAUGAUGACAAUGAUGGUGAUGCUGGUACUGAUAAUGACGAUGACAGUGAUCAAGUUGAAAAGAAGAAACCAGCUCCAGCUAAGAAGCAAUCAAAGAAAAGUGUUCACAGCAUUCAAAACAGUAGGAGUACUAGGGGUAAAGCUAAGUAG